Molecule: ribosomal RNA, 301 nt
Filed under: uncultured bacterium
Lineage: Bacteria
Description: partial 16S ribosomal RNA
Rfam family: Bacterial small subunit ribosomal RNA
Source: RNAcentral
CAGUCGCCGCGGUAAUACGAAGGGGGCUAGCGUUGUUCGGAUUUACUGGGCGUAAAGCGCACGUAGGCGGACUUUUAAGUCAGGGGUGAAAUCCCGGGGCUCAACCCCGGAACUGCCUUUGAUACUGGGAGUCUUGAGUUCGAGAGAGGUGAGUGGAAUUGCGAGUGUAGAGGUGAAAUUCGUAGAUAUUCGCAAGAACACCAGCGGCGAAGGCGGCUUACUGGCUCGAAACUGACGCUGAGGCGCGAAAGCGUGGGGAGCAAACAGGAUUAGAUACCCGCGUAGUCCCUGUCUCUUAUAC